UCCUACGGGACGCAGCAGUGGGGAAUAUUGCGCAAUGGGGGCAACCCUGACGCAGCAACGCCGCGUGCGGGACGAAGGCCUUCGGGUUGUAAACCGCUUUCAGCAGGGAAGAACCAUGACGGUACCUGCAGAAGAAGCCCCGGCUAACUACGUGCCAGCAGCCGCGGUAAUACGUAGGGGGCGAGCGUUAUCCGGAUUCAUUGGGCGUAAAGCGCGCGUAGGCGGCGCGUCAAGCGGGACCUCUAACCCCGGGGCUCAACCCCGGGCCGGGUCCCGGACUGGCGCGCUCGAGUGCGGUAGAGGCG
Molecule: ribosomal RNA, 305 nt
Filed under: uncultured bacterium
Lineage: Bacteria
Description: bacterial SSU rRNA
Rfam family: Bacterial small subunit ribosomal RNA
Source: RNAcentral